This 74-nucleotide transfer RNA is filed under the name Puniceicoccales bacterium. Its description in RNAcentral is "tRNA-Gln". It matches the Rfam family "tRNA". From Rfam's summary of the family: Transfer RNA (tRNA) molecules are approximately 80 nucleotides in length. Their secondary structure includes four short double-helical elements and three loops (D, anti-codon, and T loops). Lineage: Bacteria; Pseudomonadati; Verrucomicrobiota; Opitutia; Puniceicoccales. The record is from RNAcentral.
UGCCCGGUGGUGUAAUGGUAGCACAAAUGGUUUUGGUCCAUUUUGUCGAGGUUCGAAUCCUUGCCGGGCAGCCA